Molecule: ribosomal RNA, 395 nt
Filed under: Azemiops feae
Lineage: Eukaryota; Metazoa; Chordata; Lepidosauria; Squamata; Viperidae
Description: partial 12S ribosomal RNA
Source: RNAcentral
AAUUAAACCACCAAUUGUUCGCCAAACAACUACGAGUAAUACUUAAAACUUAAAAGACUUGACGGUGCUUCAUCACAACCUAGAGGAGCCUGUCUAACAACCGACAACCCACGAUUAACCCAACCCUUUCUUGCCAACAGUCUAUAUACCGCCGUCGCCAGCUUACCUUGUAAAGGAAUUAUAGUGAGCUAAAUAGUACUACACUAAAACGACAGGUCGAGGUGUAACCAAUGAAAGGGAUCAAGAUGGGCUACAUUCUCCUGACCUGAGAAUACGAAUAACACUACGAAAAUUAGUGCUUGAAGGCGGAUUUAGCAGUAAGAUAAGAAUAAAACACUUAACUGAACAUAUAGCAAUGAAGUGCGUACACACCGCCCGUCAUCCCUGUCAAACAG